Mercenaria mercenaria is the source of this 1988-nucleotide long non-coding RNA. RefSeq lists it as uncharacterized. The transcript is spliced from 4 exons. Lineage: Eukaryota; Metazoa; Mollusca; Bivalvia; Venerida; Veneridae. The record is from RefSeq and is a predicted model, not a curated record.
CGUAAGUAUGUACUCGACUUUAAUAUGCAACACUGCGGGAUUUAUACAGUGAGCAAGAAUACAUAUAUUGUGAUACGGUCAAACUCCAUACAUGAGAGGAGUAAGAAUUCAACACAUACAGAUACUGUCAUUUCCAUCUCCUUGGACUAGACAAUUUUUAUAAAAAUAUACCUGUGGCAUUACGUUAAAACUGUAGUUUAGAGAGUAGUGCAGAAUUACAUAUUAAAUACAUGAAAUCUGUUUGAAAAUAAAAUCUGUAAAAUGAUCCUUUGGAAGCAUAGACUGCAACCAAGCAGGAUAAUAGCAGACUCGGUUUGAUCGAGUAUGUUCAUGAGAGGUAAUGAAAUGUGCAACACCUCUCACGCCCCCUAGCAUCGGCUUAAGCGGAACUCUAUUACAUAUAUAUUGAAUGGACUCCAUGAUCCCAAAGGAUCAGAAAAUAUAACAAAAUUAUGUUUACAUUAUUUUGCGUAUCCUUCCAGACCUACAUUGUAAAUACCCCGCAAUUUUAUAUUUUCCGGAUAGAUAAGGUUAAGCUCUAAAUUAUUUCGUAUUGUUUUUUGUUGCUGCUCUCAGCAUCACAGUCAUGUAAAUCACAACGGAAAUGACGUAGACAAUUCUUGACGUACUGUUUGACGUCCGUAACUAUAAGCACCAACGUCUUAUAUAGUCAAGAGCUAGUUUGCGGAGAUCGAGAAAUCUUUCUUCUCAUCAAAUGAAUAGAUUCUCUAACAUUGCCAUUUCUUCUAGAGUUCAUCUCAACUCCAAAUAGUUUUAGAGAGGACUUUAUGAGACGAGAUUUAUCAUGAAUAAGAAGACACAAGCUGAUGCCAAUUCUUAAUGAUUCUGAUACGACCAUCAGCUGAGCCAGUGAUACAGCGCAGAUAUAUAAAUUCAAGGCACAAUACCUCUCUGCAAAAGUUAAAGAAUGUCAUAUUUAUACAUUAAAUUCUGAUAAAGACUAAAGUUAUAUAGCACAGAAAGCUGACAGUUAGAUCAGGAAUUGAGGUUAAGCACCGUUUUUCAACAGUAUAUCAAUUCUUCAAUGGCAACAAUUAACCUAACCAGUGUUCCUGGAUUCUGUACUAGUACUAGCCUGUUCUCCACAACUGCCAAAGUCUCCACAUGAAUCAGAGGUGGAGGAUGAACCAGACAAAAGUCAUCAGGAAUAAGAUAAGCUUAGCCCCGUGACUGAACUCAUGAUCCGUAGAUACAUGCUCUCCCUUCUCCAAUUAGACAUACCCGGGGACAUUUCCUGUGGUUUUGGUAGUAAUACACAGAUUUCCCUAAAAUUUUCAACUUACUGUAGUAGAUAAUAACUUGACUAAUUAAAAGUAUUUGAUAUUUUUCAAUACAAAAUAUCAGCGCAACUACCAAGUGUCACUUUAAAGAUAUAAGACUGUUGUUUCUGUAGGGCUGUAAACAAUGGAUCUGAGAAAAUAUUACGAAGAGUAUUAGGACAACAUAUUGGAAAUCGCUUAAAGCUAGUCAAAACUUUUGCAUCAAGAUGGGCCUGUUCAUGUUUUUCACGUCAAACAACACGAUGUAGACUUCAUCUUAAGAUCAAAAAGGCAUUUACAUAAGGCCACUCUCAUUCAGUGUUUACUUAACAACAUGGAACCUACUUGUAAAGGUAAACAAUUAAUGCUACCAGCAUUUUGAAGAUCCUAAUUUGAAUUUUAUUUCCAUACUAAAAGAAUGCAUUAAAUCUGUCAAAGAAGAUGAGAAUUAUUUUCAACAUUUACUGUUGUCCUUCCAUGUAAAUUUAGUGUGUCCUAAAGUAUUAUAUCUUCUGUCUAUAUUUAGCCCAACUAUAUAAAAGGACAUUUUAGGAAAAGUUGUACAAAUAUUAUGUGAUAAGAUUAACUGAAGUUGGUUUUACAGAGAUAAUUACAGAUAUUUUGAAGUUGUUUUAACCUGAUAACAGUUUUCUUUAUUUAGCUGUUUGAGGUUCUAAUGUUUGUUUAUCACUAUGCAUAGCAAUGACA